This is an RNA transcript of Beta vulgaris subsp. vulgaris (sugar beet), 1850 nucleotides long. It is a transcript of the gene named CASP-like protein 4A3, with no coding region annotated. Lineage: Eukaryota; Viridiplantae; Streptophyta; Magnoliopsida; Caryophyllales; Amaranthaceae. The transcript is spliced from 4 exons. The record is from RefSeq and is a predicted model, not a curated record.
AAACCUCCAUUAUCAACUCCUUUUAAAAAGCUUCAAAGUUCAAACAAAGUAAACAUUGUUUACUUCCCACUCUUUAAGUACUCUCUUUCUCUCUCCUUCUCUCCUCAUUUUUCCCCCUAAUUCUCUCUCUCCAUAACUAAAAAUGCAGAACCACCACAAACCACCUCGUCCACCACCACUAUCAGUGUCACAUCCAUCCGACCCAACCCCACCACCAGCCCAAUUCCAAACCCAUUCCCAGCCCAAUCCCAAGCCCAAUCUCAAGCCCAACCGCAAGCCCACCACCCCCACUCACUCCAGCUCCAACUCGGACGAGUCAACUCACUCUCCUCUCCGAUCCGACUCACCCCAUCGAUCCGACGAUCAUGACCUCCACAAAAAUGGUGGCGCAAUUGUAGCUGUUGAAAAGUAUUACUCUCCAUUAACUUCACCACUCCCUAUAACUCCACCAAAAGACGCUGCUACACCGGAUAAUUUCUCGUCUCCACCUCACCAAGUUAUUAAUUUCAGUCGAAGAGAAGAAGUUGCACCUCAAUCCGGCGUCGUUUUUAGAGAUGGAGGUGGUGGAGGAGGAGGAGAGAGAAAAGGAAGAGGUGGUGUAGGAGUGAGGUUUGGUGGUGUGGAAGAUAUUGUUAAGAAAUCUAGAAAAGGUGAAGUUGUUGAGAAGGUUAAUUUAGGGAUUAGGGUUUUGGAAAUUGUGUUUUGUUUGAUUUCUUUCUCGGUUAUGGCUGCUAAUCGAACUCAAGGUUGGAGUGGCGAUUCCUUUGAUCGUUAUAAAGAAUACAGGUUUUGUUUAUCUGUGAAUGUUCUUGGAUUUAUUUAUGCAGCGUUUCAGGCAUAUGACGUAGCCAACCUUCUGGUCACUGGAACACAUGUGAUCUCCCAUCACCUCCGCUAUCAGUUCGACUUUAUUAUGGAUCAGCUUCAUGUCAUGAUAGUCGUAUAUGUCGCACACAAGAUCAACUGUUGUCAGUUUGAUAAACAUAUGCCUUAGUGGUUUAAUGUUGGCUGUGCUAAUUCUUUAUGGAGUAAGCUUGGCGUAGCAUGAGGUGCUUUUAUUAACACAGAGUUGGCAAUGACAUUUAGGUUGCAUCUAUAUUAUGAACGGCAGACAGUAUGGCCAUAUGGCUCUACUUAUCACCAAUGACAUGAACCUAUAGCAAUUUUCAGUUUUGUCCACACACAAUCAAAUUCAGGCGGGCGAAUUCUUCGAACUGCACCACCUUUUAUACAAAAGAAAGAAUUUAAAGAUCUGUCAUGUGAGAUGGGAAGUUACUGCAUGAAUAUGAUGUGGCAAUCCAAUAUAACAAAAUAUUGUUAAGCAGAUGUGUGACUAUUAUAAGAAAAAGUUGACUGUCAUCUUCAAUAUUAGGCCCUAUUUUCAUGAGUUUACAGGAUCUAUCAUUAAGGGUUAGCCUUCAAGUUUUAAUUCCUUUAGUGAUCUUGAGAUACUAUCUGUCUCCAUCUGCUUUCACCUAUUAUAUGGAAGAGGUAGUUAAUUAAGCCAGACCUUGAAUAGGGGCAUGACAUACCCACACUCUGAUAAAGUCCAUGAAAGUCUUGGCCUCUUUUGCAUGAACUUCAAGCUAUGUAUAUUGUUUUAUCUGGUUACGCACUUAAGAUGCAGAACGCUUUGUGGUGUCAUUCAGACAUGCUGACUUUCGUAGAUCCCAGAUUUAUAAGGAGAAUAUUUCAGCUCCAUCUAGAAAAAUACUUGCAUAUCUUCUUAUAUCAGCCUCAUCAGCAGCAGCCUCUAGGGUUGAUGACUGGCAAGCUAAUUGGGGAAAAGACAAGUUCACUGAGAAGGCUAGUGCAUCAGUCAGUAUGGCUUUCUUGGCAUUUCUGGGUUU